AAGUGGAGCAAUCCAUGAGUAGAGUGGCGAACGGGUGAGUAACACGUGGGUGACCUGCCUUCGAGUGGGGGAUAACGUCCCGAAAGGGACGCUAAUACCGCAUGACAUCCUGCCUUUGAAGAGGCGGCGAUUAAAGCUGGGGAUCGCAAGACCUGGCGCUUGAAGAGGGGCCCGCGUCCGAUUAGCUAGUUGGUGGGGUAAUGGCCUACCAAGGCGACGAUCGGUAGCCGGCCUGAGAGGGCGGACGGCCACACUGGGACUGAGACACGGCCCAGACUCCUACGGGAGGCAGCAGUGGGGAAUUGUUCGCAAUGGGCGCAAGCCUGACGACGCAACGCCGCGUGGAGGAUGAAGAAUUUCGGU
Molecule: ribosomal RNA, 363 nt
Filed under: uncultured bacterium
Lineage: Bacteria
Description: bacterial SSU rRNA
Rfam family: Bacterial small subunit ribosomal RNA
Source: RNAcentral